UGGGGAAUAUUGCACAAUGGGGGAAACCCUGAUGCAGCGACGCCGCGUGAGCGAUGAAGGCUUUCGAGUCGUAAAGCUCUGUCCUAUGGGAAGAUAAUGACGGUACCAUAGAAGAAAGCCCCGGCUAAUUACGUGCCAGCAGCCGCGGUAAUACGUAAGGGGCGAGCGUUGUCCGGAAUUAUUGGGCGUAAAGAGUGCGUAGGCGGCAAAUUAAGUCAGAUGUGAAAACUAAGGGCUCAACCCAUAGAUUGCAUCUGAAACUGAUAUGCUUGAGUCAAGGAGAGGAAAGUGGAAUUCCUAGUGUAGCGGUGGAAUGCGUAAAUAUUAGGAGGAAUACCGGUGGCGAAGGCGACUUUCUGGACUUGAACUGACGCUGAGGCACGAAAGCGUGGGGAGCAAACAGG
RNAcentral lists this ribosomal RNA (404 nucleotides) under Bacteroidota bacterium. RNAcentral describes it as "Bacteroidetes bacterium partial 16S ribosomal RNA". It matches the Rfam family "Bacterial small subunit ribosomal RNA", at positions 355 to 776 of the family's 1533-position model. Lineage: Bacteria; Pseudomonadati; Bacteroidota. The record is from RNAcentral.